Molecule: ribosomal RNA, 449 nt
Filed under: uncultured bacterium
Lineage: Bacteria
Description: partial 16S ribosomal RNA
Rfam family: Bacterial small subunit ribosomal RNA
Source: RNAcentral
AACGAACGCUGGCGGCAGGCCUAACACAUGCAAGUCGAACGGAUCCUUCGGGAUUAGUGGCGGACGGGUGAGUAACGCGUGGGAACAUACCCUUUGGUACGGAAUAGCCUCGGGAAACUGGGAGUAAUACCGUAUGUGGUCGAGAGACGAAAGAUUUAUCGCCAAAGGAUUGGCCCGCGUUGGAUUAGGUAGUUGGUGGGGUAAUAGCCUACCAAGCCGACGAUCCAUAGCUGGUUUGAGAGGAUGAUCAGCCACACUGGGACUGAGACACGGCCCAGACUCCUACGGGAGGCAGCAGUGGGGAAUCUUAGACAGUGGGGGAAACCCUGGUCUAGCCAUGCCGCGUGAUCGAUGAAGGCCUUAGGGUUGUAAAGAUCUUUCAGGUGGGAAGAUAAUGACUGUACCACCAGAAGAAGCCCCGGCUAACUCCGUGCCAGCCGCCGCAGUAA